RNAcentral lists this long non-coding RNA (640 nucleotides) under Cricetulus griseus (Chinese hamster). RNAcentral's name for it is "lncRNA (ENSCGRG00015034993.1)". The record is from RNAcentral. Lineage: Eukaryota; Metazoa; Chordata; Mammalia; Rodentia; Cricetidae.
CAUUAAACAUCUUCCCUCAACAUGGGGCUCUGUACAAGUCGUACGUUACUUCAAAGGCAAACAGAGCCACGGGGGAAAACAGAUCUGUCGCCGGCAAGGGCUCCCGGGACUCAAGCUGUCUUGUCUUUGUGACGUGCCAGCGGCUGGCAAGAGAUAUCACCUGCUUCAAUAAGGCAGAUAGGAACAUACUGGUGUCCCACAAUCCCUUGGACCAAGUAGUCGUGGUUUUGCUCUGAUACUUGGCAGAAGAAUCAUGUCAAUGGUAACCAAGAAGAGGUCCAGAAGGUCCAGGGGCUGAGGCUGGGGCAUUGAGCUUCCGAGGCCAGCCUGGAUUACAUAGCAAGACCCCAAACAAACACUUGUCCUGUGUCUCCAAGAUUGGCCUUGAACUUGAUGUGUAGCAGAAGACAACUUUGAACUGCUUCCCCAGCCAGCCCUUCUGAUGUUGGAGAUUACAGGCCUUAGAGCACAGGCACGCUUAUCCAUUCAGACACUGUGUAUGUGUCCACACUAGCUGCAGCAGUCUCUAUGCCUGUGACUGUCAACGGGCCGGCCCUCCUCAGUUUACUGAUUCCUGCCUUUGAGGCCAUCUGUAAAUAUUGUUAAUAAACACAGGAGCAGAGCGCAUCCUCUAUUCCAG